CAUUAUAAAGGUGGGUCUUCUUCGGCACGGGUCUUCCUCUUCCUCCAUUGCCGCCGGAGAGAAAGAAAGCCAUCGGACCAUCGUCGGGGCCGAGGUAAGGACUCCCAGCUUUCCUCCCUUCCUUCCGUGAUGUUUAGCCAUGAUUUAUUGUGGUUUUUGAGCCGGUCAAUCGCCGAAAAUUGGGUUCAAAAUGGGAGCUCUGUCCGGCCCGAGAACACUCGCCGCCGGCCGUGUUCGCCGCUGCCAGCCGCGGGGGUGGUUGGCUUUGCUCCGCCACCUCCUGCCGCUGCCAAGGCCGGCCACCGUGGCCGCCUUUGGGCUCGACCGAGGAGGGAAGAAGAAGAAGAAGGGGGGGGCCACGGGCCCUCUGUUUUGUCAAAGAAGAAAAGAAGAGGCGAGUCGGGAGAAGAGGGAAAGAAAAGAAGAAAAAGGGAAGGAGAAGAAGAAAAAGAAAAGAAGAAAAGAAAAGAAAAGAAAAGAAAGAAAAAGAAAAGAAAGAAAAAAAAAUAAAAUAAAAGGAGGAGGGUGGUUUACGGGUAUGAAUCCGAAUCUGAACCCGAACCCGAGGUGCUAGGCACUCCUGCAGGGUCGGCCAUGGGAAAAUAUUAAAUUUAAGUUUUUAUAUAUAUUGUGAUUAAUUUUAAAAGAAAAUAUGAUUUUUGGACCUUAGGUCCUGCGAGGAAUUUGUGAGAUUAAUUGGAUUUGUUGUGGAUCGCGUUCAAGGUAAGUAACGAACUGCCUUCUCUAGACUCUUCAUUUAUAUAAUAUUAUUUUUGCAUCGAAUAAAUUGUUAAUGAAUUUAUAUGGGAUUUAUGAAUUUUACGAGAUGAUGCUUUGAAUGAAAAAUGGAUAUGUGAAUUGGAAUAAUAUUUUUUGGACUAUUGUUAUAUUACUGUUCUUGCAUUGUAUAUGCAUAUUUAGAUUGGAUUAUGAUAUAUCUAUUAUGUUACAAAAGAAUUUUGAUGUGCAUCAGAUUUAGAACUCUCAGCCUGGCUAUGUUCUGGACCCUGCCAAUAGGGGGUUAUGCAUUGGCAAUUCUGGCCCCACCACAGGGUAUAAGUGUGGUAUUCUGGCCCACUCCGCAGGGUAUAAGUGCGGUUCUAUUUCUGGCCUAGCCACAGGGUAUAAGUGUGGUCGUAGCUAAAGGCUGAUGAGAUGAAUAUGAUUUGUUUCGAAUCAGAUUUAUGAUUAUGUAUAUAGAUAUUUGAAAAAUACGAAUUUUAAUGACUUUGUGCUUGAAAAGGAAUUGAUUAUGUUAUUAUGUUGAUUCAUCGUAAUUUGUAUUUAUAUUUU
RNAcentral lists this long non-coding RNA (1293 nucleotides) under Phoenix dactylifera (date palm). RNAcentral's name for it is "long non-coding RNA (PDAC_LNC004846)". Lineage: Eukaryota; Viridiplantae; Streptophyta; Magnoliopsida; Arecales; Arecaceae. The record is from RNAcentral.